RNAcentral lists this ribosomal RNA (357 nucleotides) under Heterosigma akashiwo. RNAcentral's name for it is "partial Bacterial large subunit ribosomal RNA". It matches the Rfam family "Bacterial large subunit ribosomal RNA", at positions 1122 to 1424 of the family's 2925-position model. The record is from RNAcentral. Lineage: Eukaryota; Raphidophyceae; Chattonellales; Chattonellaceae.
UUUAAAGAUAGCGUAACAGCUCACUGGUCUAAACAAGUUGUCCUGCGGCGAAGAUGUAACGGGGCUCAAGCCAUGAGCCGAAGUCUAGGAUGCAAUUUAUUGCAUGGUAGCAGAGCGUAGUGUGACAUAAUUCCAUGCGUCCUUAAUCCCUUCGGGGAUAUUGGACGCAAGGAAUUUUCUGUGAAGCCGGCCUGUGAGGGAUCCGGUGGAGAGAUCACUAGUGAGAAUGAUGACAUGAGUAGCGACAAAGAGUGUGAGAGACACUCUCGCCGAAAGUCCAAGGGUUCCUGCUUAAAGCUAAUCUGAGCAGGGUAAGCCGGCCCCUAAGUCGAGGCAGAAAUGUGUAGACGAUGGGAA